This 440-nucleotide ribosomal RNA is filed under the name uncultured bacterium. Its description in RNAcentral is "partial 16S ribosomal RNA". It matches the Rfam family "Bacterial small subunit ribosomal RNA", at positions 338 to 795 of the family's 1533-position model. The record is from RNAcentral.
CCUACGGGAGGCAGCAGUGAGGAAUAUUGCACAAUGGGGGAAACCCUGAUGCAGCGACGCCGCGUGAGCGAUGAAGUAUUUCGGUAUGUUAAGCUCUAUCAGCAGGGGAGAAAAUGACGGUACCUGUCUAAGAAGCCCCGGCGAACUACGUGCCAGCAGCCGCGGUAAUACGUAGGGGGCAAGCGUUAUUCGGAUUUACUUGGUGGAAAUGGAGCGUAGACGGGGGUGCAAGCCAGAUGGGAAAGCCCGGGGGCCAACCCCGGGACUGCCGUUGAAACUGUGCUGCUAGAGUGUCGGAGAGGUAGGCGGAAUGCGUAGUGUAGCGGUGAAAUGCGUAGAUAUUAGGAGGAACACCAGUGGCGAAGGCGGCCUGCUGGACGACGACUGACGUUGAGGCUCGAAAGCGUGGGGAGCGAACAGGAUUAGAUACCCGAGUAGUC